This 253-nucleotide ribosomal RNA is filed under the name uncultured bacterium. Its description in RNAcentral is "partial 16S ribosomal RNA". It matches the Rfam family "Bacterial small subunit ribosomal RNA", at positions 524 to 776 of the family's 1533-position model. The record is from RNAcentral.
GACAGAGGGUGCAAACGUUGUUCGGAAUUACUGGGCGUAAAGAGCGCGCAGGCGGCUUGGCAAGUCGGGUGUGAAAUCCCGGGGCUCAACCCCGGGACUGCAUUCGAUACUGUCAGGCUAGAGGUAGGUAGGGGAGAUCGGAAUUCCUGGUGUAGCGGUGAAAUGCGCAGAUAUCAGGAGGAACACCGGUGGCGAAGGCGGAUCUCUGGGCCUUACCUGACGCUCAGGCGCGAAAGCUAGGGGAGCGAACAGG